UCCUGUACUUGGUGUUACUGCGAAGGGGGGACGGAGAAGGCUAUGUUGGCCGGGCGACGGUUGUCCCGGUUUAAGCGUGUAGGCUGGUUUUCCAGGCAAAUCCGGAAAAUCAAGGCUGAGGCGUGAUGACGAGGCACUACGGUGCUGAAGCAACAAAUGCCCUGCUUCCAGGAAAAGCCUCUAAGCAUCAGGUAACAUCAAAUCGUACCCCAAACCGACACAGGUGGUCAGGUAGAGAAUACCAAGGCGCUUGAGAGAACUCGGGUGAAGGAACUAGGCAAAAUGGUGCCGUAACUUCGGGAGAAGGCACGCUGAUAUGUAGGUGAAGUCCCUUGCGGAUGGAGCUGAAAUCAGUCGAAGAUACCAGCUGGCUGCAACUGUUUAUUAAAAACACAGCACUGUGCAAACACGAAAGUGGACGUAUACGGUGUGACGCCUGCCCGGUGCCGGAAGGUUAAUUGAUGGGGUCAGCGCAAGCGAAGCUCUUGAUCGAAGCCCCGGUAAACGGCGGCCGUAACUAUAACGGUCCUAAGGUAGCGAAAUUCCUUGUCGGGUAAGUUCCGACCUGCACGAAUGGCGUAAUGAUGGCCAGGCUGUCUCCACCCGAGACUCAGUGAAAUUGAACUCGCUGUGAAGAUGCAGUGUACCCGCGGCAAGACGGAAAGACCCCGUGAACCUUUACUAUAGCUUGACACUGAACAUUGAGCCUUGAUGUGUAGGAUAGGUGGGAGGCUUUGAAGUGUGGACGCCAGUCUGCAUGGAGCCGGCCUUGAAAUACCACCCUUUAAUGUUUGAUGUUCUAACGUGGACCCGUGAUCCGGGUUGCGGACAGUGUCUGGUGGGUAGUUUGACUGGGGCGGUCUCCUCCUAAAGAGUAACGGAGGAGCACGAAGGUUGGCUAAUCCUGGUCGGACAUCAGGAGGUUAGUGCAAUGGCAUAAGCCAGCUUGACUGCGAGCGUGACGGCGCGAGCAGGUGCGAAAGCAGGUCAUAGUGAUCCGGUGGUUCUGAAUGGAAGGGCCAUCGCUCAACGGAUAAAAGGUACUCCGGGGAUAACAGGCUGAUACCGCCCAAGAGUUCAUAUCGACGGCGGUGUUUGGCACCUCGAUGUCGGCUCAUCACAUCCUGGGGCUGAAGUAGGUCCCAAGGGUAUGGCUGUUCGCCAUUUAAAGUGGUACGCGAGCUGGGUUUAGAACGUCGUGAGACAGUUCGGUCCCUAUCUGCCGUGGGCGCUGGAGAACUGAGGGGGGCUGCUCCUAGUACGAGAGGACCGGAGUGGACGCAUCACUGGUGUUCGGGUUGUCAUGCCAAUGGCACUGCCCGGUAGCUAAAUGCGGAAGAGAUAAGUGCUGAAAGCAUCUAAGCACGAAACUUGCCCCGAGAUGAGUUCUCCCUGACCCUUUAAGGGUCCUGAAGGAACGUUGAAGACGACGACGUUGAUAGGCCGGGUGUGUAAGCGCAGCGAUGCGUUGAGCUAACCGGUACUAAUGAACCGUGAGG
Molecule: ribosomal RNA, 1499 nt
Filed under: Shigella sonnei
Lineage: Bacteria; Pseudomonadati; Pseudomonadota; Gammaproteobacteria; Enterobacterales; Enterobacteriaceae
Description: partial 23S ribosomal RNA
Rfam family: Bacterial large subunit ribosomal RNA
Source: RNAcentral